GUGCCAGUAAGUCAAUCAGUCAUGUGAGGCUCAUUUCCCGAAACAUGCAAGUUACUCUCUAGCUCUCUCUCUCAUCUCCUUUUUUAGCCUUUUGUAUUUUUUUUUCUUGUUUUUUCCUAGUUCUUUUUCAUCUUCUUUCCUAAAUAUUUUCAUUUUUCUCCUGCUUUUAUUUCAUCUCCUCUCACUUACGAACAAUAUUCUAUGUCUCUUCUUACUAAAGGAUUCAAAUUAGGUUUUAUUGUUUCCAUUGAAUUUAUUCUCUGGGUUUUGAUUGAUCUCUUUAAAAAAGUUUAUCUUCUUGGGUUUGAUUCUUUAGAUUUGUGUGUGCAAAUCGGAGUUGAGAUGUGUUUUGCGGCGUAGGUGAAAGUUGUUUCGGAUCUAGAGUUGGAGCAAUUGAUGAAGUCCUUUCCAAAUUAAGAAGCUGCUAAAGAGCGAAGCUUUUUAAGUUGGGUUAUGAUGAGUUCUUGAAGUUGUUGUUCAAUGUGGAUAACUUCUGUAUUAGUUGCUAUUAUAUCGAUUAUCUGAUAUUAUUUAGAUUUCAAUGAAUUUUAUGUUUUAUUUCAUUGUGGAAAAUAUAUUUUUUUGUUAGUUGUUACAAACAUGUACCACAAAUUGUAAAUGAUUAUUAAGUUGUCAAAUGGUUAUAUACAGAAUUUGUUAGUUGAUAUAUUGUUGGGGACAUAAUUUAUUACUGUAUAUUUGAUUUAUUAUUUGACACGUAUUGUGUUAGAAGGUAUACAACUUAGGACCAAAAAUGAGUAUUCACUAUUAUGUAUGUUAUUGAUUCUUUUAACAUCAGAUAAAUAAUUAUAACAUGUUAACAAAACAUGUAGCUGUUACAUGAUUUUUUAGAUGUUUCAUGGUUUUGAUAGAUGACAUGUUAGAUGAUACAUUGUUUUUGGUACAGUUGAUAAGUUAAUUAUUAUCUAAUACAUGAUUUUUAAUCUGAUAUAUGAUUAUUUCACCAAAAAAUGAACAUUUACUAUUAUGUAUAUUAUUGAUUAUUUUAACUCGGGCAUUGUUGUGUUUCAGGUUGAUUGUGACGAGCAUAAGAACGUCUACACUAUAUAUGAUGUUAGCGGAUAUCCCACCCUUAAGUGGUUUCCAGGGUGUUUGGGCAAUUCAUAAUUGUAAACCGAAUUAGCUUUGAAGAAAUCAUGCGGCUAUCAACAUCCGUCUGAAGUGUACAAAAAGCAACCGUCCUCUGCAGAUCUACAAUGUUACAACUAAGCUACAACAUAUUUUCAGCUUUCUACUGUGACGGCAAUACACUAACUGGCUCUUGUACAAUGGAUUAUGGGUAGUAUCGUACUCUUAUGUGACUAAUGGUAUUGUGUUCUCCGGUUACGUCUUGUCGUAUGUAGUUUCCCAAUUUCCUUUUUUCACGAGGCUAUUUUUCCUAAUUGUCUCCAAAUAAAACACUCGUGAUUUUUUCGGAUGCUUUUUUGGGAUGUUUCAAAAUAAAUAUAUGCAGUAUAGAAAUAA
Brassica napus (rape) is the source of this 1485-nucleotide long non-coding RNA. RefSeq lists it as uncharacterized. The transcript is spliced from 2 exons. The record is from RefSeq and is a predicted model, not a curated record. Lineage: Eukaryota; Viridiplantae; Streptophyta; Magnoliopsida; Brassicales; Brassicaceae.